AAUUGUCAAACCCGAGGCAUGACUAUAUAAAUUAGCAAACACACCGAUUUUUCGGGCCCUCUCGCAUCUAAUCCUUCCCUCGGCUUCACACAUCCUGAACUGCAGCAGCCGGCCCCUGGAUACACUUCAGCGCGGAACCGCGGCGGCCACCGCUAUCACUCCCCGGCGACCGAUCCAAAUUGCAGCUUCCAUUGGCCAACGGAUCAGAGAGCGCGAGACCAGCCGGAUCCGAGGUUUAUUUUAAUUAAAGAUCUGAAGAGGAGCGUGCACCCCGUCCAGGAUCUGAUUGUUUGCUGACUAGUUAAUUUUUGUGGAUGAGAGAAUUUUCUGGUGCUUUGUGGAUGUCCUUGCUGGAUGGAGGCUGGAUGUCUCACGUGGAAGAAUUGAUUCAUGUGGCUUGUGGGGGUGAAUGGCGUAGCAUCCCAUCGUCGAUCUUCAGCACACUCUGUUGAUCCUACCGCUAGCGGCGCCCAGUCAGCCGUAAACAGAUCAACAUAUUUCUUUAAUUAUUUUUGUUAGUGGACAUAUGAUCAAAUGGAUUCACAAAUAGUGAUUUCAGCUGCUAUUUCUUCUUUGGGAAAGUAGUAUAUACCCAACAAAAAGGAACAGUACCUCUAGUUUCUAGUUUAAUCACUAUGUUGAAACCUUUGGUUGAAGGAUCAAGAACGGCACCUUGCUGCCAUCUUCUUUAUAUGUUCAGUAUUGUCUCAAUAUGAAAUUGCUGCUAGAAUUUUCUAUUU
Triticum dicoccoides is the source of this 740-nucleotide long non-coding RNA. RefSeq lists it as uncharacterized. The transcript is spliced from 2 exons. NCBI's taxonomy places the organism in Eukaryota, Viridiplantae, Streptophyta, Magnoliopsida, Poales, Poaceae. The record is from RefSeq and is a predicted model, not a curated record.